AGAGUUUGAUCAUGGCUCAGAUUGGACGCUGGCGGCAGGCUUAACACAUGCAAGUCGAGCGGUAACAGGGGGAGCUUGCUUCCCGCUGACGAGCGGCGGACGGGUGAGUAAUGCUUAGGAAUCUGCCCAGUAGUGGGGGAUAGCCCGGGGAAACCCGGAUUAAUACCGCAUACGUCCUACGGGAGAAAGCAGGGGAUCUUCGGACCUUGCGCUAUUGGAUGAGCCUAAGUCGGAUUAGCUAGUUGGUGGGGUAAAGGCCUACCAAGGCGACGAUCCGUAGCUGGUCUGAGAGGAUGAUCAGCCACAUCGGGACUGAGACACGGCCCGAACUCCUACGGGAGGCAGCAGUGGGGAAUAUUGGACAAUGGGGGCAACCCUGAUCCAGCCAUGCCGCGUGUGUGAAGAAGGCUUUCGGGUUGUAAAGCACUUUCAGUAGGGAGGAAAACCUUAUGGCUAAUACCCAUGAGGCUUGACGUUACCUACAGAAGAAGCACCGGCUAACUCCGUGCCAGCAGCCGCGGUAAUACGGAGGGUGCAAGCGUUAAUCGGAAUUACUGGGCGUAAAGCGCGCGUAGGUGGUUUGGUAAGCGAGAUGUGAAAGCCCCGGGCUUAACCUGGGAACGGCAUUUCGAACUGUCAGACUAGAGUGUGGUAGAGGGUAGUGGAAUUUCCUGUGUAGCGGUGAAAUGCGUAGAUAUAGGAAGGAACACCAGUGGCGAAGGCGGCUACCUGGACCAACACUGACACUGAGGUGCGAAAGCGUG
This 764-nucleotide ribosomal RNA is filed under the name uncultured bacterium. Its description in RNAcentral is "bacterial SSU rRNA". It matches the Rfam family "Bacterial small subunit ribosomal RNA", at positions 8 to 763 of the family's 1533-position model. The record is from RNAcentral.